AACGAACGCUGGCGGCAUGCCUAACACAUGCAAGUCGAACGAUUGCCUUCGGGUGAUAGUGGCGCACGGGUGCGUAACGCGUGGGAAUCUGCCCUUAGGUUCGGAAUAACAGCUGGAAACGGCUGCUAAUACCGGAUGAUAUCGCGAGAUCAAAGAUUUAUCGCCUGAGGAUGAGCCCGCGUUGGAUUAGGUAGUUGGUGGGGUAAAGGCCUACCAAGCCGACGAUCCAUAGCUGGUCUGAGAGGAUGAUCAGCCACACUGGGACUGAGACACGGCCCAGACUCCUACGGGAGGCAGCAGUGGGGAAUAUUGGACAAUGGGCGCAAGCCUGAUCCAGCAAUGCCGCGUGAGUGAUGAAGGCCCUAGGGUUGUAAAGCUCUUUUACCCGGGAAGAUAAUGACUGUACCGGGAGAAUAAGCCCCGGCUAACUCC
This 432-nucleotide ribosomal RNA is filed under the name uncultured bacterium. Its description in RNAcentral is "partial 16S ribosomal RNA". It matches the Rfam family "Bacterial small subunit ribosomal RNA", at positions 29 to 504 of the family's 1533-position model. The record is from RNAcentral.